AUGGAGGCGCGUGUCAUUAUCAGCAUUUGGCUGUUUAUUCACCUAGGUGUGGUGCUGGGUGACUCGGUCCAGUCUAAGGAACCCCAAAUGUCUGGAAUAGAAGGAGACUCUGUGACCCUCAAUUGCUCCUACACUACCAGCUAUACCGGUUCCCUCUCUCUCUACUGGUACCGCCAGUAUCCCAACCAAGCCCCGCAGUACAUUCUGCAGAGAGGCGCCAAGGGAAACACGUAUGAUCAUACUGCAGAUUUCGCACAGAAGAGAUUUUCUUCCCAGGCUGAUGACAGCUCCACAGUUCUGAACAUCACAGUCCUGGAGCUGGCGGACACAGCGGUGUAUCACUGCGCUCUGGAUGUGACACAGUGA
Molecule: non-coding RNA, 366 nt
Organism: Emys orbicularis (European pond turtle)
Lineage: Eukaryota; Metazoa; Chordata; Testudines; Emydidae
Source: the annotation of a RefSeq genome assembly